RNAcentral lists this ribosomal RNA (391 nucleotides) under uncultured bacterium. Its description in RNAcentral is "partial 16S ribosomal RNA". It matches the Rfam family "Bacterial small subunit ribosomal RNA", at positions 523 to 918 of the family's 1533-position model. The record is from RNAcentral.
CUACGUAGGUGACAAGCGUUAUCCGGAUUUACUGGGCGUAAAGGGCGUGUAGGCGGUCUUGCAAGUCAGAAGUGAAAUUCCUGAGCUCAACUCGGGCGCUGCUUCUGAAACUGCAGGACUUGAGUGCUGGAGGGGAUAGCGGAAUUCCUAGUGGAGCGGUAAAAUGCGCAGAUAUUAGGAAGAACACCGGUGGCGAAGGCGGCUAUCUGGACAGUAACUGACGCUGAGGCGCGAAAGCGUGGGGAGCAAACAGGAUUAGAUACCCUGGUAGUCCACGCCGUAAACGAUGAGCACUAAGUGUCGGAUGAAUUUUCGGCGCUGCAGUUAACACAAUAAGUGCUCCGCCUGGGGAGUACGGUCGCAAGACUGAAACUCAAAGGAAUUGGCGGGG